RNAcentral lists this long non-coding RNA (838 nucleotides) under Cricetulus griseus (Chinese hamster). RNAcentral's name for it is "lncRNA (ENSCGRG00015031297.1)". Lineage: Eukaryota; Metazoa; Chordata; Mammalia; Rodentia; Cricetidae. The record is from RNAcentral.
CUCAGGUAUGACCCAUGAGCUGCAAUGAAGUACAGUUCCAUUUUGUGCAGAUCUACAGAGGAGAGCAAAGACCAUUGCUCUGCAGUCAGCCUCCACAUAAUCCCUGAGGGUGGAUCCAUCUCUUCUGCCAUAGGCGUUCAAGAUUGCUGGACUGAAAAACAACAAUAAUAAAAAAUCCACACUUGAUCCAUAAGUCAAGGACCCUGGUCCUGUUCUAUUGUCAACUAAAUGGAGCAGAAAAUAUCAAUGGAGAAGCAAUGUCCAAUCUUCAAGGAACCCUUUGUUUCAUCAAAUGGACUACUGGAUGACAAGUGAGGAAAACAGGAAGUGCCAAGCAUUAUUGGAACAAUCAAAUUGCACCUAGUUUCUGCGUGGCAGUGUCCUCUGCCUGGAGGAAAUGAGGCAGCCUUUCCAUGGUCCCCAUAAACAACUGGGUGUGGACUUGGUCUCUAGGUUUUAAUCCACAGCCUGUCACUCAUUUCCUCGACGACCUUGGAUAUUACACAAAAAUGCAAAUUGGAAAGAUUGGAGCCUCAGCAGUUAAAGAGUGCUUCUUCCUGUUGCAGAGAACCCAAGCUUGCUUUCCAGCUCCCAUUGGGCAGUUCACAAGCAGCUGGAACUCAAGUUCCAGGAAAUUGGAUGCUCUAUCUGGCCUCUGCAGGUGCCUAUACUCACAACUGAAUACCCACACAGAUAAAUGAAAAUAAAGCAAAGCUUGAAACAAUUUAAUUAAGUGGGGUUUUUUCUUCUUUAACAUUGUUUCUUUUUAGAUGAAUAGAUGAAUCAAGAUGUGCCAGUAGGUAAAUAGAAUCAGUGAAACCUAUUAAUGAACUGUGGU